CUGGCUCAGAACGAACGCUGGCGGCGCGUCUUAAGCAUGCAAGUCGAACGGCAAGAGGUAGCAAUACCUCCUAGAGUGGCGGACUGGUGAGUAACACGUGGGUGACAUACCCUUCAGAUGGGGAUAGCUAUUAGAAAUAGUAGAUAAUACCGAAUACGAGCACAGGGGUUAGAGAUCUGUGAGGAAAGGAGCUAAGGCUCCGCUGAAGGAAUGGCCUGCGGCCCAUUAGCUAGUUGGUGGGGUAAGAGCCCACCAAGGCGAUGAUGGGUAUCCGGCCUUAGAGGGUGAACGGACACAUUGGGACUGAGAUACGGCCCAGACUCCUACGGGAGGCAGCAGCUAAGAAUAUUCCGCAAUGGACGAAAGUCUGACGGAGCGACGCCGCGUGGAUUGAAGAAGGCCGGAAGGUUGUAAAAUCCUUUUGAAACUGAAGAAUAAGCGUUGUAGGGAAUGACAGCGUGGUGACAGUAGGUUUUGAAUAAGCAACGGCUAAUUACGUGCCAGCAGCGGC
This 511-nucleotide ribosomal RNA is filed under the name uncultured bacterium. RNAcentral describes it as "bacterial SSU rRNA". It matches the Rfam family "Bacterial small subunit ribosomal RNA", at positions 19 to 518 of the family's 1533-position model. The record is from RNAcentral.